RNAcentral lists this unclassified non-coding RNA (465 nucleotides) under Hevea brasiliensis (rubber tree). Lineage: Eukaryota; Viridiplantae; Streptophyta; Magnoliopsida; Malpighiales; Euphorbiaceae. The record is from RNAcentral.
GGAAAUAGUGGUCCUUGUAUGGUAAGUGGCUGCUUCUGAUUUUCCUUCAUUAGUUAUUUUGCCUUGAAUUCCAAUUUUCCUAAUAACUUUGAUUCUUAUAGUUCAAAAGACAUUGCUACUGUUGCAAACAUGUUCUUGCCUUGCAGUAAUAGAAAUUAGUUUCCAUACAUAAUUGAUGAAAGAUGCCUGUAUUUUUUAAUUUAAUUCGUUAAGCAUCUCUCUGGUAGGAACCUAUACCAUGCUAAAGUUUUUGGUUUUCGAUUUAAUUUGUUAAGCAUCUCUUUAGUAAUCUGGAAGGUUCAUUGUUUAUCUAAAAGUUUUAAGCUUGAGAAUCUGCAUUGCUCAACUUACUCAUCUGAGCUUUAUACAAUUUACUCCUUUCAUAUGUUACAUCAUUUGUCUGCUCAAAUUGAGCGAUAAUUUUAUCAUCCUAGCUAUAUUUGGAACUUCUGAAUGAACUUCGAC